Molecule: ribosomal RNA, 307 nt
Filed under: uncultured eukaryote
Lineage: Eukaryota
Description: partial large subunit ribosomal RNA
Rfam family: Eukaryotic large subunit ribosomal RNA
Source: RNAcentral
AUAUCAAUAAGCGGAGGAAAAGAAACCAACAGGGAUUGCCUCAGUAACGGCGAGUGAAGCGGCAACAGCCCAGAUUUGAAAUCUGGCCCUCGGGCCCGACUUGUAAUCUGCAGAUGAGUCUUUUGGCGAAGCGCCGUCCAAGUUCCCUGGAACGGGACGCCGGAGAGGGUGAGAGCCCCGUACCGACGUGCGUCUAGCCUUUGCAAAGCUCAUUCGAAGAGUCGAGUAGUUUGGAAAUGCUGCUCUAAUUGUGGGGUAAAUCUCCCAUAAGGCUAAAUACUGGCCAGAGACCGAUAGCGCACAAGUA